Oxyura jamaicensis (ruddy duck) is the source of this 2949-nucleotide long non-coding RNA. RefSeq lists it as uncharacterized. NCBI's taxonomy places the organism in Eukaryota, Metazoa, Chordata, Aves, Anseriformes, Anatidae. The transcript is spliced from 3 exons. The record is from RefSeq and is a predicted model, not a curated record.
UAGCUAUUCCAUCGUCACAGCAUAUUUCAUGUGAAAGCUCAUAAAGCUUGUGCCGCUACAUAAGCGAUGGUGUUUGAUUUCUGUCACUGUUAGUCAGGAAGCUUUAAAUGAACUCUAGAUUAUUUAGCAGUUCACCUGUUCCUAAAGCCUAUGUCCAUGUAGUGUGGAGGCAGGAAAAGGUCCCAUUGUUUAUCAAGCUCAACUUUUUGUUGUUGUUUUUGUUGGAUUUUUUUAAAAUCCUUUUGGCUGCAACUGUAAAGGUUAUUGCUUUACUUUGUGAAAGGUUUCAUGACUGCAUUCCCUAGAUUUCUUCCAAGAAUAGCCCUGUCCAUACACUGUAUACAUGUGAUCAUUUGUGAAAUAGAUUUAGUAAGAAGCUUUCAGUAAAGGAGGAAGCAGAGUGGCUUAGUAGCUGUUUUUCCCUAACUGCUCUUCAUUAGCAGCAAAGAAUACCAAGCCUAAGGUUGUCUUUAUUUUUUUCUGAUUUUGGGGAGCUUCUCACAAGUUUCUGUAAAGCUGCUACUUGCUUACUGACGUUGUGUGACAAGCGAUGCAUCCUCGCUGCCCCAAAUGCUAAAACUCACGUAUCCUUGUGUGCUGGUUGAGCUGCUGCAUCGUUCCCGCAGCUCGUGCACAUCUUUCCAAACACGUGCUGGCUGCCGCAUGUUCUCCCCGACAAAGAAGGGGCUUUCAGAAGAAGUGGACGGGGAGGGAGACCAAUGACAUUUCUGAAACUUCUGUUCGGUAUGUGGCUCGGAUGGCCUGCUGUCUCGGUUUCUCUCUCGCUGCUCCCUCUGCCAGCUUUCUGACAUGAAACUCCAGCCUUCGCCUGCUUCCUGCCUGGAAAGGUCACGGUUUGAACCGUGGCCAGCAGCAAGCGGCGGUGCUGGCACCCUCCCAGCUGCACAGGGAGAUGUGCAGGUGUUCAAACAAUGCCUGCUUGUUAGGGGGGCUCGGGCCUGUGAAACCCAGGCCCCUCCAGCUUCAUCAAGCCUCCCUGAAGGACGGGUGCUGGCAUGCUGACGGGGAGCAUUUGCCCGCCUGGUGGCAAUGUUACACUGCAGUUCAAGGCACCGGGUUCUGCGAUUUGGAAGAGAGCAGUAAAAUAAGCAUUAAAUCUGUACUGAAUGUGUGUUCUCUCUCCUUUUUUUUUUUUUUUCCACUUUGCUGCAACACUGAUGGGUGCCAUACAACGUAAAAAAAUUUGGGAAUAGAGUUCACCAAUAUUUCUUUGUAGGUUCUAGAAUCAGGGCGAAGCUUGAGCUAGUUUUAAUCUGAAAUGCUAAAAACGAUCCCUUCCUUUUACAGCAUUUAUAGAUACUUAGAACAUUGUCUAAUAUUUUUCAAGCCUUCUAAGUGUCAAAGAGGCAGUGUGUUACAGCUACUUAGUCUGCUCAAUAUUGCUAUACAAUUUAAGCCUAGAUUGAGACGGUCAAUGGGAUUGGAAAGAAGGCAAGAAAAGAAGCAUUUAAAAACAAAAUCAAUAUUCUAAGCUGGGGACCUAAUUAGUCAGCUAGACUUUAAGCUGCUGUUUUAUAGCAUGCAACUGCAUGGAUCUGCUAAAAUUGAAACUCUUCAGUGGGCCAGGUUCUAACAAUCCUCUGGCUAUUGCUAAUGUGAUGCUGGCCAAACUGGCAGUGCUUGGCAGAAAGGAAAUACCCUGACAAUUGGCACCUCCUUUGGCAGUUGUAUGAGAGGGGCUGGAGGCUGAAUGAGCACAGACAUGAUAUAUUUUGUCAUUGCAGAGUGGGCUGUCAGAGAUGGGAUGCCUACUCAGAUAUUUCUUGUUGGAGAACAAGAAGACUGAGCUAGUCAAUCUCGCAGCAAUAUGAAUACCUGAGAGCUUAAAAUAGGAGCAAAUAGAAGAAUGGUUAGGACAUCCAUUUUUUAAAAGCUAUUUUUCAGAUCUUUUUGCAUUGCCUUGGAGAAAAUCAGGAUACGUGGCACAUGUAUCAUCCCAGAUUCCCCUUCUCAUAGAUUAAGGCUAAGAUGGAUGGUUCCAAAAACAGUGUGAGCACUGCUGCAGGAGUAUUAGCCAGCUGAGGUGGCUCUUACCCAUUUUUAUCCUCAGCACGCCUUUAGCCAGUUGAUGUUCUUCCAGCUUUGGUGUGUCUUCCUGUGAUGUGAAGGCAUAUAAAAGAAAAAGGCAGCUCCAGGCAUUCAGGAGCAGAAAACUUAGAAGAAUAUUUUGCAUGAUUAGCAUCAUGAUGUAAGUGUGAAUUGUGUUUUUGUUUAAAUUGCUAUUUAUUUAUUUAUUGCUAGCAGAAGAACAAGGAAUUGCUGCUGCUGGAUUCCAAAGGGCUGCAGAACUGUGCCUAAAGCAACUAGUGCAAAGGCUCCCUCUGGCUACAGGUGUAGUCAUUUUUAUGAUGAUUUGGGACUGCAGAGCUCUGCUGUGGAGAGCAGGUGGUGAGAGUAGGGUAAGAAGUGACAGUAAUGUGAAGGAGCUGUGGGGAGAAGUAAGGCAGUGAGAAGAGAUGUGAAGCUGGUUUGUGUUGGUGUGAUGUGCCUAUACCUAAGAGGAGCACCUCUAAGAAUACCCUUGAGCGCCAGGAUUUUGCUGACAACAAACUUCAAAGGCAAUAGGAGAUGGACCUGGAGGACGAGAAGAGACUCUGGGGAAGCAGAGUAAACCAAAAUAACUGUGGGACACAACCAUUAAAUUAUGGUUUAUAUCCAGAGAGCCUUACCGACUCCACUAAGUGUGGGAAGAGAUUUAGCAAAUUAAGAUCAGCACUGAAAAAAAGAACAUACACCAUGAUCUGGAAACCACUAUGACCCCUGAGAAAAUCUUCCUUUUCAGAUGACUGGAAAAAACAACAAAGCAUGUAUCGGGGUAUAAAAAUAAAGCAAGAAACGCGGUUUGGGGCCUUCAGAACGACAGUUCGCUAAAGCGCUCCCCGAGGGCCGGAUGCAAGGCUGAAAAGGAAGCCCCAAGCCCCGCUUGCA